This 374-nucleotide ribosomal RNA is filed under the name uncultured organism. RNAcentral's name for it is "partial 16S ribosomal RNA". It matches the Rfam family "Bacterial small subunit ribosomal RNA", at positions 527 to 896 of the family's 1533-position model. The record is from RNAcentral.
GUAGGUGGCAAGCGUUGUCCGGAAUUAUUGGGCGUAAAGCGCGCGCAGGCGGUUUUUUAAGUCUGAUGUGAAAGCCCACGGCUCAACCGUGGAGGGUCAUUGGAAACUGGAGAACUUGAGUACAGAAGAGGAAAGCGGAAUUCCACGUGUAGCGAUGAAAUGCGUAGAGAUGUGGAGGAACACCAGUGGCGAAGGCGGCUUUUCUGGUCUGUAACUGACGCUGAGGCGCGAAAGCGUGGGGAGCAAACAGGGAUUAGAUACCCUGGUAGUCCACGCCGUAAACGAUGAGUGCUAAGUGUUAGGGGGUUUCCGCCCCCUUAGUGCUGCAGCUAACGCAUUAAGCACUCCGCCUGGGGAGUACGGCCGCAAGGCUG